UAGGGAAUAUUGGUAAUCUGGGAAACCGGGAACCAGCAACGCCGCGUGUGCGAUGAAGGCCUUCGGGUUGUAAAGCACUUUUUGCAGGGAAGAGGAAGGACGGUACCUGCAGAAUAAGUCUCGGCUAACUACGUGCCAGCAGCCGCGGUAAAACGUAGGAGACGAGCGUUAUCCGGAUUUACUGGGCGUAAAGCGCGUGCAGGCGGCAUGGCAAGUUGGAUGUGAAAGCUCCCGGCUUAACUGGGAGAGGUCGUUCAAUACUGCCAGGCUUGAGAGUGGUAGAGGGAAGCGGAAUUCCGUGUGUAGUGGUGAAAUGCGUAGAUAUCCGGAGGAACACCAGUGGCGAAAGUGGCUUCCUGGCCCAUUUCUGACGCUCAGACGCGAAAGCUAGGGUAGCAAACG
RNAcentral lists this ribosomal RNA (402 nucleotides) under uncultured prokaryote. RNAcentral's name for it is "bacterial SSU rRNA". It matches the Rfam family "Bacterial small subunit ribosomal RNA", at positions 355 to 774 of the family's 1533-position model. The record is from RNAcentral.